GCUCAGAGGACAGUUUUGAGCCAGACAGAGGAAGUGAACCAGAGACUGGGUCAUGCCUUGCAGACCCACAGUGAGCUGCAGGACCAGCUGAGUGAGGCACGCAGUAAGCUGGGUCAGGCCACUCUGGUGAGUGGCAGGGUUGGGGUCAAUUCCAUUUAAUUUCAGGAAACCUUUAUUCAUCACUCAAAGGGACAUACAGCAUUAACUCUAGUCCUGGACUAAAAAAACAUAGUCAAUGGACGUUCUUUUUUAAUCCUGAGGACUGAGCUUAAUCAGUGUCUGGGAAACCAACCCAAAGUCCUCUUUCACUUCACUGACUGGUCGUAACCAGCCUCUCUGUCGAGCAGGAGAGGGACCUUCUGACCACCAAGGUGUUGCGGCUGGAGGACAGUGUGGAGGACCUGAAGAUCAAGCUGACCGGGGCCAUGUCUGACAAGGACCGCUUACUGCAGGAGAAGGCAGACCUGCACCAGCACGCUCAGGAUCUGAAGCUGCAGUUGGAGAGGGCCCAGAGAGGCAGGGAAGGCUACACAGACCAGGUGUGUGAGCUCAGCAACCAGCUGGCUGAGGCCAAGGCCCAAACCAACAGGCAGGGGCAGGAGACUGUGCAGAUGAAGCAGGAUCUUCUGACUGUGACAGAGGUGUGAAGUUUGAAUGAACUUGGUUUGGUUAUACACUGUGACGUAGAGGGUUUCAAAAUUCUGGGAAUUAAAAAAAAAAGGGGGAAACUUUCUAUUAAAAUAUUUCUGAAACGUUCCAUAUAUAUUUACCAGAACAAUGCACCCUAAAAGGGGAAACUUUCUAUUAAAAACCCUAUUUCUAGUCCUAGUGCUGUACCUGUUGGUUCCACUUGUUGAGCUGAAUUUUUUUGUACUCUGUGACUGAAUUUUCUACCUGCUUAAGUGUUCCAUAUCCUGUCUGAAUGUUUAACCAUAUCUAUCUCUUUGAUAUUGGACAGAUGAAUGAAAAGAUGACAUCAGAGCUGGAGAUGGUCAAACAGAGGCUGGAGUCCUCAUUGGCUCAGCUGCAUGAGCUGGGGGCGGAGAGAGUCAUCCACACCAAUCAGAUCGCAGCUCUGGAGACGGAGCGCUCGCAGCUGAUUGGAGAGAAGGAGGAGUUAACGAGUGCUAUUGGACGGGAUGGAAGACAGGAGGAGGAAGUGACAGAGUUGAGGGAGAGUUGUUGUCAGCUCAGUGAAUCCCAGGAUGCCUUGGAGUCAGAGAACCAGAGGCUGCACGAAUGCUGCCUGACCUUGGAGGCGGAGCUCCUGGAAAAGGAGGAGGGGCUGUGUCAGAAGGGGGAGGAGCUGCAGCGGUUGGAGGCUGAGUCGGCUCAGAACAUGGAGGAGCUUAGGGGUGUGGCCUCACACUGGAGCGGGAAGUGGCAGGAUGUGGCUAUGGCGUUACAAUCCACCCAGGCAGAACUAGAGGAACUCAGAGAGAAGAACCCUGGAGAUACACUUCAAGAGGAGGUGGUACGGCUGAAGGUGGAGGUUGAGAGACUUCAGACAGAGGGACAGAGAGACAAGGAAGAGAUUCAGACUCUUCAUCUGCACUGGGCCAGUAAAGACGCAGAGCUGAGCGGAGUCAUUAAAGAUGCCGGCUCUCUGCUGAAGGUAGAGCUGGACGCUUGUAAACAACAGUUGGAGCUGGAGAGGAGUCGGAGUCAGGCUCUACACAACAGACUCAAAGUUAGAGGCAACCCUCAUAUCUUGGGUAGGGGAACGGUAGAAACGUUUGAUAAAGGGACAGAGACAGAUAUACCACCACAGACACGGGAUGAACAGGUCUCGCUGGAGGAGCUGGGCCAGGUGAGCUACAGAUGGUCUCCCUGGAGGAGGUGGAUGGGGGCCAGGUGAGCUACAGAUGGUCUCCCUGGAGGAGGUGGAUGGGGCCAGGUGAGCUACAGAUGGUCUCCCUGGAGGAGGUGGAUGGGGGCCAGGUGAGCUACAGAUGGUCUCCCUGGAGGAGGUGGAUGGGGCCAGGUGAGCUACAGAUGGUCUCCCUGGAGGAGGUGGAUGGGGCCAGGUGAGCUACAGAUGGUCUCCCUGGAGGAGGUGGAUGGGGGCCAGGUGAGCUACAGAUGGUCUCCCUGGAGGAGGUGGAUGGGGGCCAGGUGAGCUACAGAUGGUCUCCCUGGAGGAGGUGGAUGGGGCCAGGUGAGGGUAGAGCUACAGAUGGUCUCCCUGGAGGAGGUGGAUGGGGGCCAGGUGAGGGUAGAGCUACAGAUGGUCUCCCUGGAGGAGGUGGAUGGGGGCCAGGUGAGCUACAGAUGGUCUCCCUGGAGGAGGUGGAUGGGGCCAGGUGAGGGUAGAGCUACAGAUGGUCUCCCUGGAGGAGGUGGAUAGGGGCCAGGUGAGGGUAGAGCUACAGAUGGUCUCCCUGGAGGAGGUGAUGGGGCCAGGUGAGGGUAGAGCUACAGAUGGUCUCCCUGGAGGAGGUGGAUGGGGGCCAGGUGAGGGUAGAGCUACAGAUGGUCUCCCUGGAGGAGGUGAUGGGGCCAGGUGAGGGUAGAGCUACAGAUGGUCUCCCUGGAGGAGGUGGAUGGGGGCCAGGUGAGGGUAGAGCUACAGAUGGUCUCCCUGGAGGAGGUGAUGGGGCCAGGUGAGGGUAGAGCUACAGAUGGUCUCCCUGGAGGAGGUGGAUGGGGGCCAGGUGAGGGUAGAGCUACAGAUGGUCUCCCUGGAGGAGGUGAUGGGGCCAGGUGAGGACAGAGCUACAGAUGGUCUCCCUGGAGGAGGUGAUGGGGCCAGGUGAGGGUAGAGCUACAGAUGGUCCCCCUGGAGGAGGUGAUGGGGCCAGGUGAGCUACAGAUGGUCUCCCUGGAGGAGGUGAUGGGGCCAGGUGAGCUACAGAUGGUCCCCCUGGAGGAGGUGAUGGGGCCAGGUGAGGGUAGAGCUACCGAUGGUCUCCCUGGAGGAGGUGAUGGGGCCAGGUGAGGGUAGAGCUACAGAUGGUCUCCCUGGAGGAGGUGAUGGGGCCAGGUGAGGGUAGAGCUACAGAUGGUCUCCCUGGAGGAGGUGAUGGGGCCAGGUGAGCUACAGAUGGUCUCCCUGGAGGAGGUGAUGGGGCCAGGUGAGGGUAGAGCUACAGAUGGUCUCCCUGGAGGAGGUGAUGGGGCCAGGUGAGGGUAGAGCUACAGAUGGUCUCCCUGGAGGAGGUGAUGGGGCCAGGUGAGGGUAGAGCUACAGAUGGUCCCCCUGGAGGAGGUGAUGGGGCCAGGUGAGGGUAGAGCUACAGAUGGUCUCCCUGGAGGAGGUGAUGGGGCCAGGUGAGGUAGAGCUACAGAUGGUCUCCCUGGAGGAGGUGAUGGGGCCAGGUGAGGGUAGAGCUACAGAUGGUCUCCCUGGAGGAGGUGAUGGGGCCAGGUGAGGGUAGAGCUACAGAUGGUCUCCCUGGAGGAGGUGAUGGGGCCAGGUGAGGGUAGAGCUACAGAUGGUCUCCCUGGAGGAGGUGAUGGGGCCAGGUGAGGGUAGAGCUACAGAUGGUCUCCCUGGAGGAGGUGGAUGGGGGCCAGGUGAGGGUAGAGCUACAGAUGGUCUCCCUGGAGGAGGUGAUGGGGCCAGGUGAGGGUAGAGCUACAGAUGGUCUCCCUGGAGGAGGUGAUGGGGCCAGGUGAGGGUAGAGCUACAGAUGGUCUCCCUGGAGGAGGUGAUGGGGCCAGGUGAGGGUAGAGCUACAGAUGGUCUCCCUGGAGGAGGUGAUGGGGCCAGGUGAGGGUAGAGCUACAGAUGGUCUCCCUGGAGGAGGUGAUGGGGCCAGGUGAGGGUAGAGCUACAGAUAGUCUCCCUGGAGGAGGUGAUGGGGCCAGGUGAGGGUAGAGCUACAGAUGGUCUCCCUGGAGGAGGUGGAUGGGGGCCUGGUGAGGGUAGAGCUACAGAUGGUCUCCCUGGAGGAGGUGAUGGGGCCAGGUGAGGGUAGAGCUACAGAUGGUCUCCCUGGAGGAGGUGAUGGGGCCAGGUGAGGGUAGAGCUACAGAUGGUCUCCCUGGAGGAGGUGAUGGGGCCAGGUGAGGGUAGAGUUAUACAGUGCAUUCGUUAAGUAUUCAGACCCCUUUACUUUUUCCACAUUUUUGUUACGUUACUGCCUUAUUCUAAAAUUGAUUAAAUAACAUAUUUUCCUCAGCAAUCUACACACAAUACCCCAUAAUGACAAAGCAAAAACAGGUUUUUAGACAUUUUUAACAAAUAAAAAACAGAAAUACCUUAUUUUUACACCUUAUUUACACAAGUAUUCAGAUGCUUUGCUAUGAGACUGAAAAUUGAGCUUAGGUGCAUCCUGUUUCUAUUGUUCAUCCUUGAGAUGUUUCGACAACUUGAUUGUAGUCCACCUGUGGUAAAUUCAAUUUAUUGGACAUGAUUUGGAAAGGCACACAUCUGCGAAUGUUCACCUUCCAACAAGACAACGACCCUAAGUACAUAGACAAGACAACGCAAGAGUGGCUUCGGGACAAGUCUCUGAAUGUCCUUGAGUGGCCCAGCCAGAGCCUCUCUGGAGACCUGAAUAUAGCUGUGUAGCGACGCUCCCCAUCCAACCUGACAGAGCUUGAGAGGAUCUGCAGAGAAGAAUGGGAGAAACUCCCCAAAUAGUGGUGUGCCAAGCUUGUAGCGUCAUACCCAAGAAGACUCGGCUGUAAUUCAACAAAGUACUGAGUAAAGGGUCUGAGUACUUAUGUAAAUGUAAUAUUUAAUUUUUUCAUAUUUAAUAAAUUAGCAACAAGUUCUGAAAAACCUUGUUUUUGCUUUGUCAUUAUGGGUUAUUGUGUGUAGAUUGAGGGGGGGAAAAACAAAUCCAUUUUAGAAUAAGGUUGUAACGUAACAAAGUGUGGAAAAAGUCAAGGGGUCUGAAUACUUUCCGAAGGCACUGUAGAUGGUGUCUCUGGAGGAGGUGGACGUGGCCCAGAUGAGGGGCAGCUUUACAUAAAGGUGUGGGACAUGCUGAGGGACAGAGACACUGAACUGGAGGAGCAGCAGCAACAUGAGUUACAGUCAGCCAGGGGACAGGUGGGGUAGUCAGUUAAUCAAUCAAUUAAACAAUCAGUCAAUUUGUUCAUGUGUUUCCCUCUUCUGCACGUCCUGACUGUCAUGAGGUGUCACAGCUAAAUAGUGAACUUCAGAGGCUGGAGCUGGAAGUGGCAGAGCGAGAGCAGCAGCUGAGGGAGAAGUAUGUGAGCCUUACCUGUAACAUGUACAUUUAGAAAUGAACAGUAUCUCUCAC
This is a long non-coding RNA of Salmo trutta (river trout), 5216 nucleotides long. NCBI's taxonomy places the organism in Eukaryota, Metazoa, Chordata, Actinopteri, Salmoniformes, Salmonidae. The record is from Ensembl.